This 529-nucleotide ribosomal RNA is filed under the name uncultured Nitrososphaerota archaeon. Its description in RNAcentral is "bacterial SSU rRNA". It matches the Rfam family "Archaeal small subunit ribosomal RNA", at positions 452 to 981 of the family's 1478-position model. Lineage: Archaea; Thermoproteati; Nitrososphaerota. The record is from RNAcentral.
CUGGUGUCAGCCGCCGCGGUAAUACCAGCACCCCGAGUGGUCGGGACGAUUAUUGGGCCUAAAGCAUCCGUAGCCGGUCCUACAAGUCUUCCGUUAAAUCCACCUGCUUAACAGAUGGGCUGCGGAAGAUACUAUAGGGCUAGGAGGCGGGAGAGGCAAGCGGUACUCAGUGGGUAGGGGUAAAAUCCUCUGAUCCAUUGAAGACCACCAGUGGCGAAGGCGGCUUGCCAGAACGCGCUCGACGGUGAGGGAUGAAAGCUGGGGGAGCAAACCGGAUUAGAUACCCGGGUAGUCCCAGCUGUAAACGAUGCAGACUCGGUGAUGGGUUGGCCUUGUGCCGUCCCAGUGCCGCACGGAAGCCGUUAAGUCUGCCGCCUGGGGAGUACGAUCGCAAGACUGAAACUUAAAGGAAUUGGCGGGGGAGCACCACACACGGGUGAAGCCUGAGGUUCAAUUGUAAUCUACACCCGAAAUCUGAACGGGGACGACAGCGCGAUGAACACUGGCUGAAAAGCUUAACACAUUAGCU